GAAGGAAAUUAAGUACGGAAGUUCCUGAUUUCACGCUGUCAAGAAAAGCCUCUAGGAAGAGUAGUACUGCCCGUACCGCAAACCGACACAGGUAGAUGAGGAGAGAAUCCUAAGGUGAGCGAGAGAACUCUCGUUAAGGAACUCGGCAAAAUGACCCCGUAACUUCGGGAGAAGGGGUGCUCUAUUAGGGUGCAAGCCCGAGAGAGCCGCAGUGAAUAGGCCCAGGCGACUGUUUAGCAAAAACACAGGUCUCUGCAAAACCGUAAGGUGACGUAUAGGGGCUGACGCCUGCCCGGUGCUGGAAG
Molecule: ribosomal RNA, 305 nt
Filed under: Listeria monocytogenes
Lineage: Bacteria; Bacillati; Bacillota; Bacilli; Caryophanales; Listeriaceae
Description: partial 23S ribosomal RNA
Rfam family: Bacterial large subunit ribosomal RNA
Source: RNAcentral